CUACGGGUCGCUGCAGUGGGGAAUAUUGGACAAUGGGGGAAACCCUGAUCCAGCAAUGCCGCGUGUGUGAAGAAGGCCUGCGGGUUGUAAAGCACUUUCGGUUGGGAGGACUGCUUCUAGCACUAAUAUUGUUGGAAGUUGACGUUACCUUCAGAAGAAGCACCGGCUAACUCCGUGCCAGCAGCCGCGGUAAUACGGAGGGUGCAUGCGUUAAUCGGAAUUACUGGGCGUAAAGCGCGCGUAGGCGGCUAGAUCAGUCGGGUGUGAAAGCCCCGGGCUUAACCUGGGAACUGCAUCCGAUACUGUCUAGCUUGAGUACAGGAGAGGAGAGUGGAAUUCCACAUGUAGCGGUGAAAUGCGUAGAUAUGUGGAGGAACACCAAUGGCGAAGGCAGCUCUCUGGCCUGAUACUGAAGCUGAGGUGCGAAAGCGUGGGGAGCAAACAGGAUUAGAUACCCCAGUAGUC
RNAcentral lists this ribosomal RNA (465 nucleotides) under uncultured bacterium. RNAcentral's name for it is "partial 16S ribosomal RNA". It matches the Rfam family "Bacterial small subunit ribosomal RNA", at positions 339 to 795 of the family's 1533-position model. The record is from RNAcentral.